AUUGAACGCUGGCGGCAUGCCUUACACAUGCAAGUCGAACGGCAGCACGGGUGCUUGCACCUGGUGGCGAGUGGCGAACGGGUGAGUAAUAUAUCGGAACGUACCUUAUUGUGGGGGAUAACGCAGCGAAAGCUGUGCUAAUACCGCAUAAUCCCUUAGGGGGAAAGCGGGGGACCGUAAGGCCUCGCGCAAUUAGAGCGGCCGAUACCUGAUUAGCUAGUUGGUGAGGUAAAGGCUCACCAAGGCGACGAUCAGUAGCUGGUCUGAGAGGACGAUCAGCCACACUGGGACUGAGACACGGCCCAGACUCCUACGGGAGGCAGCAGUGGGGAAUUUUGGACAAUGGGGGCAACCCUGAUCCAGCAAUGCCGCGUGAGUGAAGAAGGCCUUCGGGUUGUAAAGCUCUUUUGUCAGGGAAGAAACAGCAGCUCUAACACAGUAUGCGAAUGACGGUACCUGAAGAAUAAGCACCGGCUAACUACGUGCCAGCAGCCGCCGUAA
Molecule: ribosomal RNA, 501 nt
Filed under: uncultured bacterium
Lineage: Bacteria
Description: partial 16S ribosomal RNA
Rfam family: Bacterial small subunit ribosomal RNA
Source: RNAcentral